Molecule: microRNA precursor, 237 nt
Filed under: Oryza sativa Japonica Group (Japanese rice)
Lineage: Eukaryota; Viridiplantae; Streptophyta; Magnoliopsida; Poales; Poaceae
Description: osa-MIR812i
Rfam family: MIR812 microRNA precursor family (bases 17-220)
Source: RNAcentral
ACUACCUCCGUCCCAAAAUAAGUGCAGCCAUAAGUUUCCGUGUCCAACUUUGAUCGUCCGUCUUAUUUAAAAUUUUUUAUGAUUAGUAUUUUAAUUAUUAUUAGAUUAUAAAAUAUGAAUAGUACUUUAUGCGAGACUUACGUUUUUUAGUUUUUUCUAAAAAAAUUUAAAUAAGACAGACGAUUAAAGUUGGACACGGAAACUCAUAGCUGCGCUUAUUUUGGGACGGAGGGAGUA